This 467-nucleotide ribosomal RNA is filed under the name uncultured bacterium. RNAcentral describes it as "partial 16S ribosomal RNA". It matches the Rfam family "Bacterial small subunit ribosomal RNA", at positions 28 to 506 of the family's 1533-position model. The record is from RNAcentral.
GACGAACGCUGGCGGCGUGCUUAACACAUGCAAGUCGAACGGAAAGGCCCUGCUUUUGUGGGGUGCUCGAGUGGCGAACGGGUGAGUAACACGUGAGUAACCUGCCCUUGACUUUGGGAUAACUUCAGGAAACUGGGGCUAAUACCGGAUAGGAGCUCCUGCUGCAUGGUGGGGGUUGGAAAGUUUCGGCGGUUGGGGAUGGACUCGCGGCUUAUCAGCUUGUUGGUGGGGUAGUGGCUUACCAAGGCUUUGACGGGUAGCCGGCCUGAGAGGGUGACCGGCCACAUGGGGACUGAGAUACGGCCCAGACUCCUACGGGAGGCAGCAGUGGGGAAUAUUGCACAAGGGGCGGAAGCCUGAUGCAGCAACGCCGCGUGCGGGAUGACGGCCUUCGGGUGGUAAACCGCUUUCGCCUGUGACGAAGCGUGAGUGACGGUAAUGGGUAAAGAAGCACCGGCUAACUACGU